This 685-nucleotide long non-coding RNA is filed under the name Sinocyclocheilus grahami. RNAcentral describes it as "lncRNA (ENSSGRG00000047401.1)". Lineage: Eukaryota; Metazoa; Chordata; Actinopteri; Cypriniformes; Cyprinidae. The record is from RNAcentral.
CCCCCCCCCCCCACAUUUAUUUUUAAGAGUGACACUCUUCAAAAUAGGCUUCAAACUAGGACGUAUGAUUCGUACUUUAUAUUCCAAGUCUUCUGAAGCCAUACAGUAGCUUUAUUUAAAAAAUAAAAAAAAAUUAGAAAAACAUGAAGGUGAGUAAAUAAUUACUUAACUAAUAAAUAGUUCUGUAAACAAUUAUUAAACUAUUAUUUUACAUAAGAGGUUUAGAACAGUAGUACUUUGAUGUCUUUAUUGGUCUCUUUUGACAAUAAAUCGAAUACAACUGUUAAGAUAAUGUGUUUAUAGAGAAUUAGACUAUAGUCACUUUUGAGCUGCUUUGGAUUUUGUUUUUGUCUUGUUUGCCAAAUUGUGCUUCAUAAUCAGGUGAUGUUAUUUUGAUGUCUUUUCUUUUUGGUGGGCAGAAAGAGAUAGACAAAAUGAAGUCCCUGAUAAUGACUGAAAUGACCACCUUAGAUAUUCUCAAGGGUUAUAGGGAUGCAGAGGCAGCUGAAUUUCAUCGUGAACAAACAGACUGCAAGAGGGUGAAAGGUGAGCUGCAGAAAAAGUAUGAAGACGCUAUGUCUACAAUUACUCAGCUGGAGACUGAGGUGGAGCAACUGAGACAGACAUACGCAGAAAAAUCUGAGGUAAAUCUCACAGGCAUAGAAUAAAUAUAGCUGGUUUACUG